UGGGGAAUUUUGGACAAUGGGCGAAAGCCUGAUCCAGCAAUGCCGCGUGUGUGAAGAAGGCCUUCGGGUUGUAAAGCACUUUUGUCCGGAAAGAAAUGGCUCUGGUUAAUACCUGGGGUCGAUGACGGUACCGGAAGAAUAAGGACCGGCUAACUACGUGCCAGCAGCCGCGGUAAUACGUAGGGUCCAAGCGUUAAUCGGAAUUACUGGGCGUAAAGCGUGCGCAGGCGGUUGUGCAAGACCGAUGUGAAAUCCCCGAGNUUAACUUGGGAAUUGCAUUGGUGACUGCACGGCUAGAGUGUGUCAGAGGGGGGUAGAAUUCCACGUGUAGCAGUGAAAUGCGUAGAGAUGUGGAGGAAUACCGAUGGCGAAGGCAGCCCCCUGGGAUAACACUGACGCUCAUGCACGAAAGCGUGGGGAGCAAACAGGAUUAGAUACCCUGGUAGUCC
Molecule: ribosomal RNA, 449 nt
Filed under: uncultured bacterium
Lineage: Bacteria
Description: partial 16S ribosomal RNA
Rfam family: Bacterial small subunit ribosomal RNA
Source: RNAcentral